AUUGAACGCUGGCGGCAUGCCUUACACAUGCAAGUCGAACGGUAACAGAUCUUCGGAUGCUGACGAGUGGCGAACGGGUGAGUAAUACAUCGGAACGUGCCCAGACGUGGGGGAUAACGAGGCGAAAGCUUUGCUAAUACCGCAUACGAUCUAAGGAUGAAAGCAGGGGACCGCAAGGCCUUGUGCGUUUGGAGCGGCCGAUGGCAGAUUAGGUAGUUGGUGGGAUAAAAGCUUACCAAGCCGACGAUCUGUAGCUGGUCUGAGAGGACGACCAGCCACACUGGGACUGAGACACGGCCCAGACUCCUACGGGAGGCAGCAGUGGGGAAUUUUGGACAAUGGGCGAAAGCCUGAUCCAGCAAUGCCGCGUGCAGGAUGAAGGCCUUCGGGUUGUAAACUGCUUUUGUACGGAACGAAAAGGCUCUGGCUAAUACCUGGGGCACAUGACGGUACCGUAAGAAUAAGCACCGGCUAACUACGUG
RNAcentral lists this ribosomal RNA (482 nucleotides) under uncultured bacterium. RNAcentral describes it as "partial 16S ribosomal RNA". It matches the Rfam family "Bacterial small subunit ribosomal RNA", at positions 30 to 507 of the family's 1533-position model. The record is from RNAcentral.